RNAcentral lists this long non-coding RNA (504 nucleotides) under Portunus trituberculatus (swimming crab). Its description in RNAcentral is "uncharacterized LOC123500553". The record is from RNAcentral. Lineage: Eukaryota; Metazoa; Arthropoda; Malacostraca; Decapoda; Portunidae.
UCCUUAAUAAUAGGCUGCCAGUACCUGACGACAUCUUUGAUAGUGAAUUUGUAGAAGCAUGCGUACUGGCCCGACUCAAUUCCACAGCACUGGAAUGUGCUGACACACCUGAAGCUGCAGGACAGCAGCCAGCACAAGAUCUGGUCUUGGACAACCCUGGCAGUCCGCUUAUCAUCAGGAGUGAGGACUGUGAACUUAUAGAUGCGGAAGAUGAUGUGGACCUCCCAGGUGCUAGAACCUCCGCUCAUCCUGUACUAAAAAAAGGCACCUGCUCUGCUCGCAGCAGUAGUGCCACAGCUGCCACCCAAAACCAGUCCUUCACAGGACGAAAGAGGAAGGCAGCAGAAAGCAAAUCUGCUGCUUAUGGCAGGUGUGCCAAGCAGCAGAAACACUUUCGUGAUGAACUGGCCUCAACAUUUGAGGCCCUUGCUGCAAAAGUGGCAACAACGCUGGACAGCAUAGCUUCUGCUGCCGAUAAAAUUGGGUUGGCAGCAGACAGAAUGG